UCGAGGAUCUUCCGCAAUGGGCGCAAGCCUGACGGAGCGACGCCGCGUGUGGGAUGAAGGCCUUCGGGUUGUAAACCACUGUCACUCGUUAAGAAAGGGUCCGGCGUGAACAACGUCGGGCACUGACAAAGGCGAGAGAGGAAGCCACGGCUAACUUCGUGCCAGCAGCCGCGGUAAGACGAAGGUGGCGAGCGUUGUUCGGAAUCACUGGGCAUAAAGCGCACGUAGGCGGCGACGUAAGUUGGGUGUGAAAUCCCUGGGCCCAACCCAGGAACUGCGCCCAGUACUGCGUUGCUUGAGGAUCAAAGGGGUGCAUGGAAUUCCCGGUGGAGCGGUGAAAUGCGUUGAUAUCGGGAGGAACUCCGGCGGCGAAAGCGGUGCACUGGUUGAUUUCUGACGCUGAGGUGCGAAAGCCAGGGGAGCAAACGGG
RNAcentral lists this ribosomal RNA (430 nucleotides) under Acidobacteriota bacterium. Its description in RNAcentral is "Acidobacteria bacterium partial 16S ribosomal RNA". It matches the Rfam family "Bacterial small subunit ribosomal RNA", at positions 355 to 776 of the family's 1533-position model. The record is from RNAcentral. Lineage: Bacteria; Pseudomonadati; Acidobacteriota.